RNAcentral lists this ribosomal RNA (264 nucleotides) under Salmonella enterica subsp. enterica serovar Senftenberg. RNAcentral's name for it is "partial 16S ribosomal RNA". It matches the Rfam family "Bacterial small subunit ribosomal RNA", at positions 1 to 261 of the family's 1533-position model. Lineage: Bacteria; Pseudomonadati; Pseudomonadota; Gammaproteobacteria; Enterobacterales; Enterobacteriaceae. The record is from RNAcentral. RNAcentral also lists the same sequence under 1 other name.
AAAUUGAAGAGUUUGAUCAUGGCUCAGAUUGAACGCUGGCGGCAGGCCUAACACAUGCAAGUCGAACGGUAACAGGAAGCAGCUUGCUGCUUUGCUGACGAGUGGCGGACGGGUGAGUAAUGUCUGGGAAACUGCCUGAUGGAGGGGGAUAACUACUGGAAACGGUGGCUAAUACCGCAUAACGUCGCAAGACCAAAGAGGGGGACCUUCGGGCCUCUUGCCAUCAGAUGUGCCCAGAUGGGAUUAGCUGGUUGGUGAGGUAAC